Molecule: transfer RNA, 73 nt
Filed under: Spirochaetes bacterium GWB1_48_6
Lineage: Bacteria; Pseudomonadati; Spirochaetota
Description: tRNA-Thr
Rfam family: tRNA
About the family: Transfer RNA (tRNA) molecules are approximately 80 nucleotides in length. Their secondary structure includes four short double-helical elements and three loops (D, anti-codon, and T loops). Further hydrogen bonds mediate the characteristic L-shaped molecular structure. tRNAs have two regions of fundamental functional importance: the anti-codon, which is responsible for specific mRNA codon recognition, and the 3' end, to which the tRNAs corresponding amino acid is attached (by aminoacyl-tRNA synthetases). tRNAs cope with the degeneracy of the genetic code in two manners: having more than one tRNA (with a specific anti-codon) for a particular amino acid; and 'wobble' base-pairing, i.e. permitting non-standard base-pairing at the 3rd anti-codon position.
Source: RNAcentral
GCCAACUUAGCUCAGCUGGUAGAGCACUUGACUUGUAAUCAUGAGGUCGUCGGUUCAAGUCCGACAGUUGGCU